Molecule: transfer RNA, 65 nt
Filed under: Dipodomys ordii (Ord's kangaroo rat)
Lineage: Eukaryota; Metazoa; Chordata; Mammalia; Rodentia; Heteromyidae
Rfam family: tRNA
About the family: Transfer RNA (tRNA) molecules are approximately 80 nucleotides in length. Their secondary structure includes four short double-helical elements and three loops (D, anti-codon, and T loops).
Source: Rfam by way of RNAcentral
GGCGGCUCAGUGGUAGAGUGCUUGCCUAGCAUGCAGGAAGCCCUGGGUUCAAUUCCUCAGCACCA